Non-coding RNA from Carica papaya (papaya), 618 nucleotides. The record is from RefSeq and is a predicted model, not a curated record. NCBI's taxonomy places the organism in Eukaryota, Viridiplantae, Streptophyta, Magnoliopsida, Brassicales, Caricaceae.
GCAAAAUCCCAGCCAACAACAAAGUUUUCCAUUAUCAGAUUGUUCUAGCCAACAAGCUGAUCAAAACCAAGAGGUAGUGGAUAAUGUGCAAGCACAGUCGGUAACAGCCCCAGCUACCAGCAUAGCCUGUAAUUAAGAGGUAGCAGGUUGUUUCCUUCUUCAUGAGACAGAAUUUAAGAGGUACAGGUGUGGGAAACAAUUUUUAGCCAAAGGAGAGCUGGAGGAAAAGUGAUCUUAAAGCAUAUUCCAGAUUUAGAAGGAGGAUCGCGGUACCCUUUUCUCUGUGAUGGAUUCUUCCAACAACGCAUGAUUUGCUUAGAAUUUUCCCUAGGAUCGGUUCUAAUUGUUCAUAUAAAGAAGAAAAUGUGUCAUAUACCAUUUAUAGAUAACUUAGUUGUUACAGAUCAGGAGUUCAGAAACAAGAGAAAUUUCUUGUGUGGCUUUAGCAUGAUUGCCUUCAGAAAUUGGUUCUGCUUAGGAGUUUAGAUAGCAAAUUCAAUCUCACUUUUCAUUUAUCCGAGUCCCAAAUCCUUCCAAGUACCUCAUUCUUGGCAAAGCCAUAUAUAAGUUGAGACUUUGAGUACCUGUUUCAUUUCAAUAAUACAGCUAGUUUGUUCU